UAUAAUUGUCAGCUAAGUGGCGCACGGGUGAGUAAUGUAUAGAUAACCUGCCCUUAAGAAAGGAAUAACAGUUGGAAACGACUGCUAAUGCCCUAUAUGCCUUUAAUACAUAAGUAUGCAAGGGAAACGCUUUAGUGCUUAAGGAUGGGUCUGUAUGGUAUCAGCUUGUUGGUGAGGUAAUGGCUCACCAAGGCUAUGACGCCUAACUGGUUUGAGAGGAUGAUCAGUCACACUGGAACUGAGACACGGUCCAGACUCCUACGGGAGGCAGCAGUGGGGAAUAUUGCACAAUGGACGAAAGUCUGAUGCAGCAACGCCGCGUGGAGGAUGACACAUUUCGGUGCGUAAACUCCUUUUAUAUAGGAAGAUAAUGACGGUACUAUAUGAAUAAGCACCGGCUAACUCCGUGCCAGCAGCCGCGGUAAUACGGAGGGUGCAAGCGUUACUCGGAAUCACUGGGCGUAAAGAGCGUGUAGGCGGGUAUAUAAGUCAGAAGUGAAAUCCAAUAGCUCAACUAUUGAACUGCUUUUGAAACUGUAUACCUAGAAUGUGGGAGAGGUAGAUGGAAUUUCUGGUGUAGGGGUAAAAUCCGUGGAGAUCAGAAGGAAUACCGAUUGCGAAGGCGAUCUACUGGAACAUUAUUGACGCUGAGACGCGAAAGCGUGGGGAGCAAACAGGAUUAGAUACCCUGGUAGUCCACGCCCUAAACGAUGUACACUAGUUGUUGUGAGGCUCGACCUUGCAGUAAUGCAGUUAACACAUUAAGUGUACCGCCUGGGGAGUACGGUCGCAAGAUUAAAA
RNAcentral lists this ribosomal RNA (801 nucleotides) under uncultured bacterium. Its description in RNAcentral is "bacterial SSU rRNA". It matches the Rfam family "Bacterial small subunit ribosomal RNA", at positions 79 to 899 of the family's 1533-position model. The record is from RNAcentral.